UGUUAGGUCCAAAGUAUCGUAGAAGGGGGGGUUGAAUACGAUACUCACUACAAUUUAAAAUUCUUUCGAAUCUUGCGGAUAAACAAAUUGCAGUUCUGUAAUGGGUUUCGUGUUCUGGAUAUUUAUUGGGUCGAUUUCUGAGGAUAUUAAAAUAUUAAACCAACACACAAUAUUUUCCAAGGUAUAUCUGUAUAUUGAUAAAUACCUCGAAGGUGCUAUAAAUCCAAACCCGAAGGUUCGGCUACAAUGGC
This 251-nucleotide long non-coding RNA is filed under the name Daucus carota (carrot). RNAcentral's name for it is "long non-coding RNA (DCAR_LNC002066)". The record is from RNAcentral. Lineage: Eukaryota; Viridiplantae; Streptophyta; Magnoliopsida; Apiales; Apiaceae.